UGGGGAAUAUUGGACAAUGGGCGCAAGCCUGAUCCAGCAAUGCCGCGUGUGUGAAGAAGGCCUUCGGGUUGUAAAACACUUUUAUCAGGAGCGAAAUACUACCGAUUAAUACUCGGUGGGGCUGACGGUACCUGAGGAAUAAGCACCGGCUAACUUCGUGCCAGCAGCCGCGGUAAUACGAAGGGUGCAAGCGUUAAUCGGAAUUACUGGGCGUAAAGGGUGCGUAGGCGGUUAUUUAAGUCUGCCGUGAAAUCCCCGGGCUCAACCUGGGAAUGGCGGUGGAUACUGGAUAGCUAGAGUGUGUCAGAGGAUGGUCGAAUUCCCGGUGUAGCGGUGAAAUGCGUAGAGAUCGGGAGGAACAUCAGUGGCGAAGGCGGCCAUCUGGGACAACACUGACGCUGAAGCACGAAAGCGUGGGGAGCAAAC
RNAcentral lists this ribosomal RNA (426 nucleotides) under uncultured bacterium. Its description in RNAcentral is "bacterial SSU rRNA". It matches the Rfam family "Bacterial small subunit ribosomal RNA", at positions 355 to 773 of the family's 1533-position model. The record is from RNAcentral.